GACGAACGCUGGCGGCGUGCUUAACACAUGCAAGUCGAACGGUGAAGCGCCUUCCUUUUUGGUGGACGGGGGAGAGUGGCGAACGGGUGAGGAACACGUGAGUAACCUACCCCUUCGUUCGGGAUAACCGCAUGAAAGUUUCGCUAAUACCGGAUAUUCCGGGUCUGUGGCAUGAUGGGUCUGGGUAAGAUUUCGUUUCGGUGGGGGAUGGGGUCGGGGCCUAUCAGGUUGGUGGUGGGGUGAUGGCCUACCAAGGCGGGGCCGGGUAGCCGGGCUGAGAGGGUCGGCGGGCAUGGUGGGACAGAGAGGCACCGAGGACUGCGACGGGCGGCAGCGGGGGGGAAUAGUGAACAAUGGGCGCCAGGCUGCGGCAGCGACGCGGCGGGAGGGAGGGAGGCCGUCGGGUUUUGACCCUCUGUCGCCAGUGAAACAGGGCUGGAUCGUCUGUGGGUGGGUUGACGGUAGCUGGAGAAGAAGCGCCGGCUAACUACGUG
RNAcentral lists this ribosomal RNA (494 nucleotides) under uncultured bacterium. Its description in RNAcentral is "partial 16S ribosomal RNA". It matches the Rfam family "Bacterial small subunit ribosomal RNA", at positions 28 to 507 of the family's 1533-position model. The record is from RNAcentral.